RNAcentral lists this transfer RNA (68 nucleotides) under Melanobaris laticollis. RNAcentral describes it as "tRNA-Ser". Lineage: Eukaryota; Metazoa; Arthropoda; Insecta; Coleoptera; Curculionidae. The record is from RNAcentral.
AGUUAAUGAACUUGUUUUAAAAGUGUAUAUUUUGAAAAUAUAAAAAAGAGAAAAUUCUCUAUUAACUU